Molecule: long non-coding RNA, 1354 nt
Filed under: Carassius auratus (goldfish)
Lineage: Eukaryota; Metazoa; Chordata; Actinopteri; Cypriniformes; Cyprinidae
Description: lncRNA (ENSCARG00000035415.1)
Source: RNAcentral
CCUGUAAUCUCUGGUCUCCUCAGGAUGGGGGCGCCACAGAGGCUGAGCUGAGCGUGCCCUUCACCUUCCUCUCAUCAGCACCGUGUGUGCAGGUAAUGCCUUUCAUUUGCACUCUGUCCAUUCAUCAUUUGUUAAUACUGUGCUGUAGGGCAUGAACGAAGCAGAAGUGAUCUCAGACACUAAAUUUAACAGCUCUUCCUUAACUCAGAGGAGCUGAGCUCUUUGUUUUUGCACAAACCUUUUUUGGUCGUUUUUGAUGACCUUAGACCACUAUUGACUACAAUGUAGUGCACCACUAUUUCACAAACCGUGCUUGUAAAUGGUAGGCAGUGCACACUACUGUUCAAAAGUUUGGAGGCAGUAUAAUUUAUUCAUCAUCUUUUAGAAAGAAACUAAUAAUUUUGUUCAGCAAGUAAUAAUACACUGAUCAAAAACGACAGUAAAGACAUGUAUAAUGUGAAAAAAAAUACAGCACAACUGUGUUCAACAUUGAUAAUAAUGUGACUUUGACAAUUCAGCUUUGAUCACAGAAAUCAAUUAGGUUUCAAUAUAUAUUCACAUGGAAAACUACUAUUUUAAAAUAUAAUUUCACAAUAAGUACUUUUUUUUGUAAUUUGUGAUCAAAUAAAAAGCAUUGACAUUUUUACCAACCCCAAAAUUUCGACCAGUACUGUAUAUAUUGUGCAGAAUGUAGCAGUCUAGUAUUUCUUGUGAAAACAGCAAUGUUUCUGUGUCUGUCUGAUGUGCUGCUGUCCGUCCAUAGGUGUGGCGCUUGGAUUUCCAUGGAAGACAAAUCAUUUGCCCUGACUGUAAGUGUAAACAUCUAAAAUCAUUAACACACAAUUGCUGGCAGAUGGACAUAAAUAGUGGCACUCAUCCUGGACCUUCACAGUCACACACAGGCACUGGGGUCUCAUCCUCAGCACUGCAUUGACUCUUCUGGCUGCGGUGACUAUACUGGUCUGCAUCACAUGCUACCUGCUCAAAAUAAGCAGACCAGAUCGCUGUUUCUCCCCGGUGUGCUCCCGUACCUGUUCCUGUGUCCCUGAGUCUUCCUGUAUCGUCGUUUGUUCCUGGAUCUUCACCCAGCACUGGAUUACCGAGCACCGUUACGCGGAUUACACACGCACCAGGAUUCAAGGAAUCAUCACGGGACCGAGCACCAUCAUCUGUUGUCCACCGAAGUCCCUUUGUCACCAUUCCAUCAGCCUUGUGUCCGCCCACCUGUGUUUCCCUGUGAUUUGUCGUGCAUAUCUGACUUUUGUCUUCACAAAAUUGGAUUUACGUAACGCUUAUCAUUUGGUUCGCAUAAGGAAGGGGGAUGAAUGGAAGACCACAUUUAAUACCCCCAGAG